GGGUUGUGAGGUUAAGCGAAUAAGCGUACACGGUGGAUGCCUAGGCAGUCAGAGGCGAUGAAGGACGUGCUAAUCUGCGAAAAGCGUCGGUAAGCUGAUAUGAAGCGCCAUAACCGGCGAUGUCCGAAUGGGGAAACCCAGUGCAAUGCGUUGCACUAUCAUUAACUGAAUCCAUAGGUUAAUGAGGCGAACCGGGGGAACUGAAACAUCUCAGUACCCCGAGGAAAAGAAAUCAACCGAGAUUCCCCCAGUAGCGGCGAGCGAACGGGGAGCAGCCCAGAACCAGCAUCAGCGAUGCCAUCAGAGGAACGGUCUGGAAAGGCCGGCGAGAGAGGGUGACAGCCCCGUACUCGAAGGUGGUAUGGCUGUGAGUUCGACGAGUAAGGCGGGACACGAGAAAUCCUGUCUGAAGAUGGGGGGACCAUCCUCCAAGGCUAAAUACUCCUGACUGACCGAUAGUGAACCAGUACCGUGAGGGAAAGGCGAAAAGAACCCCGGCGAGGGGAGUGAAAGAGAACCUGAAACCGUGUACGUACAAGCAGUGGGAGCCUUGAUUCGUCAGGGUGACUGCGUACCUUUUGUAUAAUGGGUCAGCGACUUAUAUUCUGUAGCAAGGUUAACCGUAUAGGGGAGCCGCAGGGAAACCGAGUCUUAACUGGGCGAAUGAGUUGCAGGGUAUAGACCCGAAACCCGGUGAGCUAGCCAUGGGCAGGUUGAAGGUUGGGUAACACUAACUGGAGGACCGAACCGACUAAUGUUGAAAAAUUAGCGGAUGACCUGUGGCUGGGGGUGAAAGGCCAAUCAAACCGGGAGAUAGCUGGUUCUCCCCGAAAGCUAUUUAGGUAGCGCCUCGUGAAGUCAUCUUCGGGGGUAGAGCACUGUUUCGGCUAGGGGGCCAUCCCGGCUUACCAACCCGAUGCAAACUGCGAAUACCGAAGAAUGGUAUCACGGGAGACACACGGCGGGUGCUAACGUCCGUCGUGAAGAGGGAAACAACCCAGACCGCCAGCUAAGGUCCCAAAGUCAUGGUUAAGUGGGAAACGAUGUGGGAAGGCCCAGACAGCCAGGAUGUUGGCUUAGAAGCAGCCAUCAUUGAAAGAAAGCGUAAUAGCUCACUGGUCGAGUCGGCCUGCGCGGAAGAUGUAACGGGGCUAAACCAUGCACCGAAGCUGCGGCAUUCAGAGGACAGAUUUCAGACGACAGAGGACGGAUUAAUGUCAUAUGGAUUCGAGCGAUUGGAAGUGUUUAAGAAAGCUUACCGAAUUUCAUUAGAGAUUCAUCAGGCGAGUUUGGCAUUUCCUCGGUACGAACAAUAUGGAUUAGCAGACCAAGUAAGGCGGGCAAGUAAGGGUAUUUGUGCCAAUCUUGCCGAGGGCUUUGGUAAGCAACAUUAUUCCAAACCUGAGUUUAGACGUUUCAUUAGUAUAGCCUUAGGGAGUGCUGAUGAGAUGCGUGUCUGGUUAAGAUACUGUCUGGAUUUAGGUUAUAUUACUGCGGUUCAGUGGCAGGAAUGGCGUGACAGCUAUGAAGAGAUAGCGAAAAUGCUGACCGGACUGGGACGUCAUCUGUAAGCUGUAUUCUGACGUCUGUUCUCUGGAUGGGUAGGGGAGCGUUCUGUAAGCCGUUGAAGGCGGCGCUGUGAGGCCCGCUGGAGGUAUCAGAAGUGCGAAUGCUGACAUAAGUAACGAUAAAGCGGGUGAAAAACCCGCUCGCCGGAAGACCAAGGGUUCCUGUCCAACGUUAAUCGGGGCAGGGUGAGUCGACCCCUAAGGCGAGGCCGAACGGCGUAGCUGAUGGGAAACAGGUUAAUAUUCCUGUACUGAAUGUGACUGCGAAGGGGGGACGGAGAAGGCUAGGCCAUCCGGGCGACGGUCGUCCCGGUUUAAGCGUGUAGGUGGGAGGAGCAGGCAAAUCCGCUCUUCUUUAACACUGAGGCGUGAUGACGAGCUGCUACGGCAGUGAAGUGGUUGAUGCCCGGCUUCCAGGAAAAGCCUCUAAGCAUCAGGUCAUAUUGAAUCGUACCCCAAACCGACACAGGUGGUCAGGUAGAGCAUACUCAGGCGCUUGAGAGAACUCGGGUGAAGGAACUAGGCAAAAUGGUGCCGUAACUUCGGGAGAAGGCACGCUGGCAGUAGGUGAAGGAGUUUGCCUCCGGAGCCGAAGCCAGUCGCAGAGACCAGCUGGCUGCAACUGUUUAUUAAAAA
Molecule: ribosomal RNA, 2204 nt
Filed under: Photorhabdus luminescens
Lineage: Bacteria; Pseudomonadati; Pseudomonadota; Gammaproteobacteria; Enterobacterales; Morganellaceae
Description: bacterial LSU rRNA
Rfam family: Bacterial large subunit ribosomal RNA
Source: RNAcentral